RNAcentral lists this unclassified non-coding RNA (230 nucleotides) under Hevea brasiliensis (rubber tree). Lineage: Eukaryota; Viridiplantae; Streptophyta; Magnoliopsida; Malpighiales; Euphorbiaceae. The record is from RNAcentral.
GCACAAUGAUGAUAUGGAACACAACCAUUUCUUUGCAGUUCCCACAUGAAUCUCUACAAAUAAAGUCCAAGUGCCCAUUAGUAUCAGGGCUGUGAGAGCUCUGUUCAGCAAGCACUUAGAUGUUGAAUCUUCUCACGUAUUGCCUUGUAGCACUGGAGACUGCAGAGAGGCAGUUUUGAUUUGGAGUCUCUGUAUUUGUAUGUAUUCAUACAAGAUGGACCGGCACAUUU